GGGACGUGGCGGUUGACGGCAACGUUAG
This 28-nucleotide small nuclear RNA is filed under the name Arabidopsis thaliana (thale cress). RNAcentral's name for it is "snRNA_00332". Lineage: Eukaryota; Viridiplantae; Streptophyta; Magnoliopsida; Brassicales; Brassicaceae. The record is from RNAcentral.